Molecule: long non-coding RNA, 253 nt
Organism: Lemur catta (Ring-tailed lemur)
Lineage: Eukaryota; Metazoa; Chordata; Mammalia; Primates; Lemuridae
Exons: 3
Source: RefSeq, a predicted model, not a curated record
GUACGAAUCGUUCUGCUCAGGUUGGAUAUCAUUGUCAGAGAAAUGAGACCUCCUCUACGAUUGCAAAAAGAAGAAAAGCUCCGAAGACGGAGAAACUGAAUCUCUGUCCCAGCUAAAUGACCUCACACAGAUAGUAAGCCGUAAAGCCUGCUCUCAAACACAGAUCUUCAGCCACCUCACCCAGCAUCCUUUCCACCAUCCUUGAAGUGGACCGACCUGCUGUGCGGCAUCGAGUGCUUGUGAGCAAGUGGUG